Long non-coding RNA from Xiphophorus hellerii (green swordtail), 368 nucleotides. RefSeq lists it as uncharacterized. The record is from RefSeq and is a predicted model, not a curated record. Lineage: Eukaryota; Metazoa; Chordata; Actinopteri; Cyprinodontiformes; Poeciliidae. The transcript has 2 exons.
AUAUAUAUAUAUAUAUAUAUAUAUAUAUAUUAAUCAACAGUCUGACCAGGCCUGUUUAAUAAUUUUAUCCUAAUAAAGAGACGACUCUAAUUUUAAAACUAGCUAGCCUGGCUAGGACUGAAGAAACCAAGAUGAGAGAAAUAUUAUGGUACGUUUAGGAUGAGUGGCCCUAUUUACACCAUGUUUAGGUCCAUGAUUGCGACUGUGUGGGUAAACAUGACGUUUGUUCAUGUUUUAUCUGGAAUAUAAAUCCACCCAGUGUGGAAAAGCAACAAUGUAACCUUUAUUGCUCUGAACGUGUUUUGUGCUCUCGCUCGCUGUUGAAAUGAAGUCAUCAAAAUAUGCAAACCCAAUAUGGGCAAAUAGCA